GGGCGUAAAGAGCGUCGCUAGGCGGCUUGAUCACGGUCGGACUGUGAAAAGUCGGCCCUUAGCGGGCCGCGGGGGGAAGUGCGAAAACGGGCUGGCUUGACCCUUUGAAUGGGAGACUGGAAUUCCUGGGGGAGCGGUGGAAUGCGCAAAGAUCAGGAGGAACACCGAGGGCGAAGGCAGGUCUCCGGGCAGCCACUGACGCUGAGGAGCGAGAGCCGGGGUAGCAAACAGGAUUAGAUACCCU
RNAcentral lists this ribosomal RNA (244 nucleotides) under uncultured Corynebacterium sp. Its description in RNAcentral is "partial 16S ribosomal RNA". It matches the Rfam family "Bacterial small subunit ribosomal RNA", at positions 556 to 788 of the family's 1533-position model. Lineage: Bacteria; Bacillati; Actinomycetota; Actinomycetes; Mycobacteriales; Corynebacteriaceae. The record is from RNAcentral.